This 252-nucleotide ribosomal RNA is filed under the name uncultured bacterium. RNAcentral's name for it is "partial 16S ribosomal RNA". It matches the Rfam family "Bacterial small subunit ribosomal RNA", at positions 524 to 776 of the family's 1533-position model. The record is from RNAcentral.
UACGUAGGGGGCAAGCGUUGUCCGGAUUUAUUGGGCGUAAAGAGCGUGUAGGCGGUUUUACAGGUCCGCUGUGAAAACUCGAGGCUCAACCUCGAGCUGUCGGUGGAAGCCGUAAGGCUAGAGUCCGGAAGAGGAGAGUGGAAUUCCUGGUGUAGCGGUGAAAUGCGCAGAUAUCAGGAAGAACACCCGUGGCGAAGGCGGCUCUCUGGGACGGUACUGACGCUGAGAGCGAAGGCGUGGGGAGCGAACGGG